Molecule: long non-coding RNA, 508 nt
Filed under: Chinchilla lanigera (long-tailed chinchilla)
Lineage: Eukaryota; Metazoa; Chordata; Mammalia; Rodentia; Chinchillidae
Description: lncRNA (ENSCLAG00000026158.1)
Source: RNAcentral
GUGGAGGAAUUGUGUUCAGGUCACUGAAAUUGAAGGCUGAGCUUCCAGAAUUCCUCAGUCCUCUGUUCCAGCCAGAGACAAAAAGAGAGGUCUCCCUGUCACUCCCCUUUGGUGAGAUAACUGGGGGUGGUAGCAGCCUAGCCUUCCUCCCCACUGCCCCACCAGAAUAAGAACGCCACCCAAGGAGUGCUGACAUAUUCUGCCAUAGCUGCGGAGCCUGCAUCCAGGAGGGAGGAGAUUUUGUCAUCAGUCAUUUAGAAGAAAAGCAACACCCUAGCCCAGGCUCAUACUCCUAUGCAUGGCCUGCAUUAACAGGAGGGUCAAGACUGAUUGGUAACUCUGAUUCCAAUGAAACAAGAUUGUGAAUGGUGAGUAGUAUUUCUUGUUCCUCAAUCAGUUGUAGGAUAUGGACUCCUCACCACUGCCGAGAUAUUAAACUAUAAUUCCUUCCUGCACUCUAAGUAAAUAUCAACUGACUUCACUCAUAAAUAAGAUGCCAAGUGUCCAG